UACCUGGUUGAUCCUGCCAGUAGUCAUAUGCUUGUCUCAAACAUUAAGCCAUGCAAGUCUAAGUACGAGCUCUCGUACAGUGAAACUGCGAAUGGCUCAUUAAAUCAGUUAUGGUUCAUUUGAUCGUACAGUUUACUUGGAUAACUGUGGUAAUUCUAGAGCUAAUACAUGCGAGAAGCGCCGACCUCGCGGGAGGCGUGCAUUUAUCAGACCAAAAACCGGCCGCGUCUUCGGGCGCGUUCGCCUUGGUGACUCUGGAUAACUUUGCGGAUCGCACGGUCUAGCACCGGCGACGGAUCAUUCAAGUGUCUGCCCUAUCAACUUUCGUCGGUACGGUAUUUGCCUACCGAGGUUCUUACGGGUGACGGGGAAUCAGGGUUCGAUUCCGGAGAGGGAGCCUGAGAAACGGCUACCACAUCCAAGGGAAGGCAGCAGGCGCGCAAAUUACCCAUUCCCGACGCGGGGAGGUAGUGACGAAAAAUAACAAUGCAGGACUCGUUCGAGGCCCUGUAAUUGGAAUGAGUACACUUUAAAAGCUUUAACGAGUAUCCAUUGGAGGGCAAGUCUGGUGCCAGCAGCCGCGGUAAUUCCAGCUCCAAAAGUAUAUAUUUAAGUUGUUGCGGUUAAAAAGCUCGUAGUUGGAUUUUGGGCGCAGGCGGCCGGUCCGUCGCAAGAGCGUGUACUGGACGUCCUGGCCUUCCCUCCGGUUCUCCGCCGGUGCUCUUGACUGAGUGUCGGCGGCGGCCGGAACGUUUACUUUGAAAAAAUUAGAGUGUUCAAAGCAGGCUCUCGAGCCUGGAUAAUGGUGCAUGGAAUAAUGGAAUAGGACCUCGGUUCUAUUUUGUUGGUUUUCGGAGCGCGAGGUAAUGAUUAAGAGGGACAGACGGGGGCAUUCGUACUGUGCCGUUAGAGGUGAAAUUCUUGGAUCGGCGCAAGACGAACGACUGCGAAAGCAUUUCCAAGAAUGUUUUCUUUAAUCAAGAG
Ciona savignyi (Pacific transparent sea squirt) is the source of this 984-nucleotide non-coding RNA. The record is from Rfam. Lineage: Eukaryota; Metazoa; Chordata; Ascidiacea; Phlebobranchia; Cionidae.